GCAAAGCAGAGGGCUGGAAUGGAAUGAUGUUUUCCCUUAUCAGGAACAACAAAAUUGGACAUGUGAGCUAAUAGCUGUCUGACCUCCUGUGACAUGCAACUAUGGCAGUCUGGAAAAUGUAUCCUUAGGAUUGUAUUCCAUUGAAAGGCUCUAAAGUUCUUCAUUUCACACUGAUAUAUCUACAACCAAGGAGGUGAAUUGUGUAGGACCAUAGAUUUGCUCCCAGGCUACUUGAAAUCGUACCAAAUAGAGGAAAUAUAACAGAGAUAAAGUGAUAUUAAAGCCUUAAACAAAGACUAAAGAAGAUAUUCUACUCUUAUUUACAACAUGUAAUGAAGUUUUCUAAUAAAAAUGUAUGGAAUUAAAAGGCA
RNAcentral lists this long non-coding RNA (371 nucleotides) under Monodelphis domestica (gray short-tailed opossum). Its description in RNAcentral is "lncRNA (ENSMODG00000045794.1)". Lineage: Eukaryota; Metazoa; Chordata; Mammalia; Didelphimorphia; Didelphidae. The record is from RNAcentral.